GAUGAACGCUGGCGGCGUGCCUAAUACAUGCAAGUCGAGCGAACGGACGAGAAGCUUGCUUCUCUGAUGUUAGCGGCGGACGGGUGAGUAACACGUGGAUAACCUACCUAUAAGACUGGGAUAACUUCGGGAAACCGGAGCUAAUACCGGAUAAUAUUUUGAACCGCAUGGUUCAAAAGUGAAAGACGGUCUUGCUGUCACUUAUAGAUGGAUCCGCGCUGCAUUAGCUAGUUGGUAAGGUAACGGCUUACCAAGGCAACGAUGCAUAGCCGAUCUGAGAGGGUGAUCGGCCACACUGGAACUGAGACGCGGUCCAGACUCCUACGGGAGGCAGCAGUAGGGAAUCUUCCGCAAUGGGCGAAAGCCUGACGGAGCAACGCCGCGUGAGUGAUGAAGGUCUUCGGAUCGUAAAACUCUGUUAUUAGGGAAGAACAUAUGUGUAAGUAACUGUGCACAUCUUGACGGUACCUAAUCAGAAAGCCACGGCUAACUACGUG
This 497-nucleotide ribosomal RNA is filed under the name uncultured bacterium. RNAcentral describes it as "partial 16S ribosomal RNA". It matches the Rfam family "Bacterial small subunit ribosomal RNA", at positions 28 to 507 of the family's 1533-position model. The record is from RNAcentral.